RNAcentral lists this long non-coding RNA (257 nucleotides) under Brassica napus (rape). Its description in RNAcentral is "long non-coding RNA (BNAP_LNC023021)". The record is from RNAcentral. Lineage: Eukaryota; Viridiplantae; Streptophyta; Magnoliopsida; Brassicales; Brassicaceae.
GCCCUCAUUUCUCCGCUUCAGCCCAUGUUUACCGGUGAAACAAAUCCGAGGCCAACGGUCCUCUACCACCCAAUUCAGCCAAUAAGUCCAAGUAAGUGUCGCUCAAACCUUGUAAAUAUUUAGUUAUCAUGUUUAUCUCUUUCCUUUAGAUCUCUUCUUUGAGCUUACUCUCACACAGUCCCUUGUGUGAAGUAAGUUUGGGGGGAGAGUCUACUAUCUCACAUCAUUUUCUGUUUUGUUUACUUGUCAUGAGUCUC